This 355-nucleotide ribosomal RNA is filed under the name uncultured bacterium. RNAcentral's name for it is "bacterial SSU rRNA". It matches the Rfam family "Bacterial small subunit ribosomal RNA", at positions 527 to 881 of the family's 1533-position model. The record is from RNAcentral.
GUAGGUGGCAAGCGUUGUCCGGAUUUACUGGGUGUAAAGGGCGUGCAGCCGGGUCUGCAAGUCAGAUGUGAAAUCCAUGGGCUCAACCCAUGAUCUGCAUUUGAAACUGUAGAUCUUGAGUGUCGGAGGGGCAAUCGGAAUUCCUAGUGUAGCGGUGAAAUGCGUAGAUAUUAGGAGGAACACCAGUGGCGAAGGCGGAUUGCUGGACGAUAACUGACGGUGAGGCGCGAAAGUGUGGGGAGCUAACAGGAUUAGAUACCCUGGUAGUCCACACUGUAAACGAUGAAUACUAGGUGUGCGGGGACUGACCCCCUGCGUGCCGCAGUAAACACAAUAAGUAUGCCACCUGGGGAGU